Helianthus annuus (common sunflower) is the source of this 1583-nucleotide long non-coding RNA. RefSeq lists it as uncharacterized. Lineage: Eukaryota; Viridiplantae; Streptophyta; Magnoliopsida; Asterales; Asteraceae. The record is from RefSeq and is a predicted model, not a curated record. The transcript has 3 exons.
UUCCUUCACCUACACCUGCCAGUCAUUCCGUCUUCUCUCACUUUAUCCCCUUCUCUCUAUGUCUCUCUGGGUUAAACGAGGAUGAUGAAGAAGACAGCGGCGAAGCCCUCGCUCCCACCAUCGCACUAAAUCAGAAGCCCUAAAUCUCGAACAAGAAAUUAACCAGUAAUUGCUUUCUGAUUUAUCUCCUGUUUUGCAGUAUAUUUUUUUGUCUGUUAUAUUUUCUUUAACUGUAGAAAGAAAUUAGAAGAUGACUCUUUCAAAAUCCAAUGGAAAAUCGUAUAUGGUUAAUCACUGAUCUACAGUUGCAGGUAAGUGAAUCAACGAUCAUCGUGAUGAUGAUUACGAGGUGUUUGUUCCAGUGGGUAUUUGUGGAUCUAUACAUGCCUAAUUAGGUCAUGAGAUUUAAAUCAAUUUAGUGACAGUAAUCUUAUAUGUUUGUAAAUCGUUUCCACUAAAUUGACUAAAUAAUCGGUACGUUUUUGGACUAGACGCCUGUAUAUAGCUUACAUUUAUUAAUAGGUUGGAAUGUAAAUUGAUUUAAGAAUGAUUUCUUGCGGUUUGUAGACGUUUUUAAAGGUGAUUUUACAUAGAGAAAGUGAAAGGUAGUUUCUUAUGCAAACAUAUUAAUCCUUCUAGCUAUUACAUACUAUUAGUUUUUAUAUGUAGAUAUUUAUCGUUUUACCCAGUUUGUAAAUGUAGAUUAAGGAAAACACCAACAACAGAAAAAAUCAAUCAUGUAAGAGGUCAGUUAGGACCAACAUGGAAAUCUGUAUCAUUUGGAUAACAUAUGCUGGGACAGUUCACUUAAAGAGGUCGGUGUGGAUGAAAGACCGCUGAAGGCGGGACCAAAUUCAGUAGCUUUGAAAAGUGUCGAAACACGAAAAGAGGUGCAUUGGUGCUUGAAGAAAUACAUAUUUUCUACAUAUAUCAGUGGUAAUCACAAAAAGAAAUGAUCACAUCUCACCAUCAAAUUAAAGCCUUGACCGGAGAAAUAACCAUUGUUGGCAACUUAAAAGGCUCAUUUUGACCCACUCUGUUUAGCCUGUAACCAACCAAAACGGGAUGAUCCGCCAUUUUUUAUUCUAUAAUAAAUAAUGCAAAACUAAGCUAUUUCUCCCAAAAGUCUCUUGAAACUCAGAUACCACUAAAAUUUGAACCAAACCAGUUUGGCCCGCCUAUCGAAUCAAAAGCACUCAUUCGACAAAACCAAUUUUACCCCGUUACAAAACAGGCCAUGUCAAAGUGGGCUAGCCCAUACUGCAUAGACGUCAUCUUUCUAAUCUUUUAUACAUGUUUAAUGCGAUAAUAUAAGUACAAAAAAUAAGAUUACUUUAGGGGUGCAAAUUCCUGGCACGACCUAAAACACAACCCAAACACGACAAAAGAAUAAUCAUAGUAAGAACCAUCGUCAUGACAUGACCAUGACCAUGAGAGAGAAUGUGUAUAUGAGAGAGAUACAUGCAUAUUGAGAGACAUAUAUAGAGUCAUAGAGAGAGGGCAAGAAACUUUGCAUGAAAGUAAGAGAAUACUUUAUACUAUGGACGAACGCACAUUAUAAACAUCAGUGUCACAUGAUAUCG